Molecule: transfer RNA, 74 nt
Filed under: Mus musculus (house mouse)
Lineage: Eukaryota; Metazoa; Chordata; Mammalia; Rodentia; Muridae
Description: tRNA-Ala
Rfam family: tRNA (bases 7-70)
About the family: Transfer RNA (tRNA) molecules are approximately 80 nucleotides in length. Their secondary structure includes four short double-helical elements and three loops (D, anti-codon, and T loops).
Source: RNAcentral
GCCAGGGUGUAGCUCAGUAGGUAAAGUGCUUGACUGGCAGGCAUAAAACCCUGGGUUCAAUCCCCAGCACUGCA